RNAcentral lists this ribosomal RNA (496 nucleotides) under Glomus sp. MS Appelhans 246. RNAcentral's name for it is "SSU rRNA". It matches the Rfam family "Eukaryotic small subunit ribosomal RNA", at positions 569 to 1070 of the family's 1831-position model. Lineage: Eukaryota; Fungi; Glomeromycota; Glomeromycetes; Glomerales; Glomeraceae. The record is from RNAcentral.
AGCAGCCGCGGUAAUUCCAGCUCCAAUAGCGUAUAUUAAAGUUGCUGCAGUUAAAAAGCUCGUAGUUGAAUUUCGGGACCAUCAUGUCGGUCGUGCCUCGGUACGUACUGGCAUUGUUGGUUUCUCCCUUCUGACGAACCAUGAUGUCAUUUAUUUGGUGUNGUGGGGAAUCAGGACUGUUACUUUGAAAAAAUUAGAGUGUUUAAAGCAGGCUCACGCUUGAAUACAUUAGCAUGGAAUAAUGAAAUAGGACGUUUGAUUCUAUUUUGUUGGUUUCUAGGAUCGACGUAAUGAUUAAUAGGGAUAGUUGGGGGCAUUAGUAUUCAAUUGUCAGAGGUGAAAUUCUUGGAUUUAUUGAAGACUAACUACUGCGAAAGCAUUUGCCAAGGAUGUUUUCAUUAAUCAAGAACGAAAGUUAGGGGAUCGAAGACGAUCAGAUACCGUCGUAGUCUUAACCAUAAACUAUGCCGACUAGGGAUCGGAUGAUGUUAAUUUU